CCCUUAGAUGUUCUGGGCCGCACACGCGCUACACUGACGGAUUCAACGAGCUUACAACCUUGGCCGAAAGGUCUGGGUAAUCUCCAAAAUCCGUCGUGAUGGGGAUAGAUUAUUGCAAUUAUUAAUCUUCAACGAGGAAUGCCUAGUAAGCGCAAGUCAUCAGCUUGCGUUGAUUACGUCCCUGCCCUUUGUACACACCGCCCGUCGCUCCUACCGAUUGAAUGGUCCGGUGAAGCGUUUGGACUAUGGUUUUCUGAUGGUCCGCCGUUGGAUUACCGUGGGAAGUUCGUUAAACCUUAUCAUUUAGAGGAAGGAGAAGUCGUAACA
This 327-nucleotide ribosomal RNA is filed under the name uncultured eukaryote. RNAcentral's name for it is "partial 18S ribosomal RNA". It matches the Rfam family "Eukaryotic small subunit ribosomal RNA", at positions 1470 to 1796 of the family's 1831-position model. The record is from RNAcentral.